RNAcentral lists this ribosomal RNA (115 nucleotides) under uncultured bacterium. RNAcentral's name for it is "partial 16S ribosomal RNA". It matches the Rfam family "Bacterial small subunit ribosomal RNA", at positions 1386 to 1501 of the family's 1533-position model. The record is from RNAcentral.
CACACCGCCCGUCACAUCAUGGGAGUUGGUUUUGCCCAAAGUGUCUGACUCAACCGCAAGGGAGAGGGCACCAAGGUAAGGCCGAUGACUGGGAUGAAGUCGUAACAAGGUACCC